GCAAAUCAUUGAUGAUAAGUCUAUCUUACGUGAAUUAUUUGUGUUGUGUAAACUCAUGUGAUUUGAUGUUGCAUAUUUAUGAAUUGAAUAAUAUGACAAACGAAUAUCCGUUAGUUUACUCACUGAACUUUCCAAAAAUUACCCUCUUCCCUUAAUCCCAAGUAAAGUGUUAUAGGAUUAGAGACAUAUACAAGAAAUGAUAAGAAGAAGCUGUGAUGUAGCAAGUUGUAUAUGUAUGAUUUGAGGUUUAUCAGUGGAUAUUUAAUUGUAAUGAUUAAAUACUGUGCUUGGUUUUA
This 296-nucleotide unclassified non-coding RNA is filed under the name Hevea brasiliensis (rubber tree). Lineage: Eukaryota; Viridiplantae; Streptophyta; Magnoliopsida; Malpighiales; Euphorbiaceae. The record is from RNAcentral.